This 71-nucleotide transfer RNA is filed under the name Stegodyphus mimosarum. It matches the Rfam family "tRNA". Rfam says of the family: Transfer RNA (tRNA) molecules are approximately 80 nucleotides in length. Their secondary structure includes four short double-helical elements and three loops (D, anti-codon, and T loops). The record is from Rfam by way of RNAcentral. Lineage: Eukaryota; Metazoa; Arthropoda; Arachnida; Araneae; Eresidae.
GCUUUCAUGGUGUAAUAGUAGCACACUCAGCUCGUAUUCGAGAGGUCCAGGUACGAGUCCCGGCGAGGGCA